Molecule: non-coding RNA, 47 nt
Organism: Callithrix jacchus (white-tufted-ear marmoset)
Lineage: Eukaryota; Metazoa; Chordata; Mammalia; Primates; Cebidae
Source: Rfam
AAAAAGGCCCUUUUUAGGGCCCCCAAGCUUUCAACAAGAGUUGAAAU